CCUACGGGAGGCAGCAGUGAGGAAUAUUGGUCAAUGGGCGAGAGCCUGAACCAGCCAAGUCGCGUGAGGGAGUACUGCCCUAUGGGUUGUAAACCUCUUUUGUCGGGGAGCAAAAGCCGGACGUGUCCGGCUGUGAGAGUACCCGAAGAAAAAGCAUCUGCUAACUCCGUGCCAGCAGCCGCGGUAAUACGGAGGAUGCGAGCGUUAUCCGGAUUUAUUGGGUUUAAAGGGUGCGCAGGCGGAUUUUUAAGUCAGCGGUAAAAUCGUGGGGCUCAACCCCAUCCAGCCGUUGAAACUGGGGAUCUAGAGUGUGCGAGAGGUAUGCGGAAUGCGUGGUGUAGCGGUGAAAUGCAUAGAUAUCACGCAGAACCCCGAUUGCGAAGGCAGCAUACCGGUGCACAACUGACGCUCAGGCACGAAAGCGUGGGUAUCGAACAGGAUUAGAUACCCGUGUAGUC
Molecule: ribosomal RNA, 458 nt
Filed under: uncultured bacterium
Lineage: Bacteria
Description: partial 16S ribosomal RNA
Rfam family: Bacterial small subunit ribosomal RNA
Source: RNAcentral